CUCACCCAGGCUGCCCAUUUUGCACUGUGGGCCAACCAUGCUGAUUCACUGAUUCACUCCACCAACAUUUAUAGGGGGCCGUGCUCCUGUGCCAUACCAUUUUCACAAUAUCUUGCACUUAACACAUGUAGCAAUACCUACAGGAUGGGGAAAUUGUGUGAUUCACCAGUAUUUGUUUAAGGGGAAUAUGACAUUUUAUUUCUAGAUAUUGUUUGACUUUGUAUAAAAAUAUAUACUGUACAGAUUCAGAAGUAUAUUAUGACAAAAACUUUUAGAAAAAUAUUUAUUUUUACUGUUU
RNAcentral lists this long non-coding RNA (298 nucleotides) under Mastacembelus armatus (zig-zag eel). Its description in RNAcentral is "lncRNA (ENSMAMG00000026710.1)". The record is from RNAcentral. Lineage: Eukaryota; Metazoa; Chordata; Actinopteri; Synbranchiformes; Mastacembelidae.